UUCCUUAAGGAUUAAAUCCUUUGCCCAAUCUGCUCAAGUAUACUCCCUUCAUCGUGCCUCUCUCUCUAUCCCAUUCUCAUCCCCAAAUUCUGAAACGAAUCCCUAGCUUAUUUUUCGAUCAGCGGCGGUUUUCCUCACGGCUCCUCCGGAGGAAUCGCCACCUGCGCUCCCUCUAUCCGGCGAACUCGCAUCCUGAGCGGCCUCCCUUAAUUCCGACGAAUUAAUCGGUGGAGGGGAGGCUUUGCCUCUGCCACGGCGUCGCUGUCUGGUGCCGUCGUUUCUGGCGGCUCGGGCUCACUCACCGGGAACACGCGGUUCCUCCACUGUCACCAUAGGUCCCGUGCCAUUCUCUCGUGCCGACCUCUGCUAUGCGCCCUCCGUCGGACGUUCUCUCUCUCGGCGAAGUCACCAAGAAAGGCGUCGCCUUUCUCCUUUGUCGAAAUCGCCGUCUCGACGAGUAGCCGCCGCUCAAGUUUAGCGGGGAGUCGCCCUCGUGCAGCACCGCAUCCGCCUCGCCCGCUGCUGCUCCGGCAGUGUCGCGGUCCGGCAGCCUCUCGGUCCAAAAGUGGAGGACUUCUUGGAAGGCGUGGCUGCUCCAUGCUUGGAGCGUAGCACUUUGUGAAAAACGAGGGGCAGGAAUGGAGGAUUUGCCUAGCUCACUCCCUUUGUAAUUUACUAUAAUUAGGAAAUCUUCUCCCCUUAUUUUGUGAUGAAUCUUGUAAAGUGGAAGCUUCCUUCUUUGUUUGUCAAGAUAGGGGUCUUAGUGUAGUGUGUAUUGUCCCUUUCAUUAAGUGUGAUCAAGUUCAAGGCUUGGCUCCUCAAGACCUCUUGUAUUACUUUGCUAUUUCUUUCUCAUAAGUAGCCAUGUAUUAUUCGCAUCUCCAUCAUUCUUGUAUUUAUUAUUUUUUUGUACUCUUCAAAGUGCCUAUCUAAUAAAAGUAUAUCCUCUACUUUUAUUCUUGAAUAAUUUUACAUACACUUUGUUUC
Molecule: long non-coding RNA, 987 nt
Organism: Salvia splendens (bonfire salvia)
Lineage: Eukaryota; Viridiplantae; Streptophyta; Magnoliopsida; Lamiales; Lamiaceae
Exons: 2
Source: RefSeq, a predicted model, not a curated record